GCUUUUGAUGGUGUUAUAAGCAUGGUAACGCAAUUUGAAGAUGGCUUUUUAUGAAGCAGAUCCUGAAUGUUUAAACAAGACCAAAGUAUGCAUAGAAGAACUGUAAUAUAUAUAAGGCAUUCUGAUGUUUGAUCCUAAUAUAUUUUAUAUAUACCAAAGAUUGGCAUUACUUAAGCACAGAUUUACCAAUACGUGACUUACAUACUCUAGUACUCUUUUAAAUACCUAAUCUCCUAUUUCUCUCUAUUCCCUAGAGAAAAAUGGUUCUGUGGGAGAUUCAACAGACCACAUCGUGAUGUUUAGGGCUGCAACAUCCAAAAUGUUGGUAUUCAAAACUCAAUAUACAGUGCUGAUCUAGGUGCCUAGAUAUAACUCUGCACCAAAUACAGGAACUCAAAUUAGUAUUCAAAACAACCAGCUUGCUGAGUGCUGGCAUGUUAAACACCACUGCAUGAAACAUGACUCUGAAGUUUGGAAGCUGAAGCACCUUAGUGGGAAUUCAGAACUCUGCUUUCAUUCUGAGAGUGAGACAUUACUGAGCACCAGCUCCCUCCUCUCUUCUGUCUUGUUGCAGGAGCCUUCCCAUGGAAGCUGCAAGUCAGAAACUGGAGUUUGACAGCAAGUUGUCUGUGAUUUGCUUUUCUCAAGUUAUUUAUGGGCCAUGCUUCCAGCCGCAAGCCUACAAUUCUUGAAUAAGAAGCUUAUGCACUUCACCCUACCCCAUCUACUUGGAGCUGUUAUGAAAUCUGAUCUACUUCUUGAUUCUUAUGUGUCUAUCACAGAAAACAUUACCCACAUUGGAAAUCAGAGAAGAAACUAUAGGGAAGAGGAGAUUUUGAGAAAUGUUUUGGAUGUGCAGACAGGAAAUUUUAAAAGUAAGUGAUAAUCCUUUGGCUUUAAUAUCAU
RNAcentral lists this long non-coding RNA (906 nucleotides) under Zonotrichia albicollis (white-throated sparrow). RNAcentral describes it as "lncRNA (ENSZALG00000008439.1)". The record is from RNAcentral. Lineage: Eukaryota; Metazoa; Chordata; Aves; Passeriformes; Passerellidae.